Cercocebus atys (sooty mangabey) is the source of this 4129-nucleotide RNA transcript. It is a transcript of the gene named adaptor-related protein complex 3, beta 2 subunit, with no coding region annotated. The record is from RefSeq and is a predicted model, not a curated record. Lineage: Eukaryota; Metazoa; Chordata; Mammalia; Primates; Cercopithecidae. The transcript is spliced from 26 exons.
UCUCCGCCUUCCCCCCACGGCGUGGGGGAGCAUCCGCUCGCGCGUCUGGGGAGAACGGAGCCCCAGAAGCCCGUUCCGCCGAGGCCAGGUGCUCCGGGGUGGGGGCAGGUGUUCCGCAUCCCCUGGAAGACGGUCCCAGCCUCCAGUCCAGCUGCCUCGCCCACUUUCAGACCUGGAGAUGAGCCAAGUCGCUUUAAAGGGCAGAAGACGCCCUGAAGCGAGAGCAUUUCCGAGGGAUGGGCGGGGCCAGGCCCUGCUGCACCGCCCCCGUCGCCUCCUCGCCGACUCGCCCUCUGCUCGGCUGGCGCUGGUGCCUUUAAGACCUCAGCGCGCGGCCCUGAUUGGGAAAUCCGCGCGCAGCCUCCGCCGCCGCACACUGUGGUCUCUGCUGAACCCCUGCCGCGCCGCCGGCCUCGCCAGCCCGGCUCGUACCGGCCCGCGUUCCGUUCCUCGGCUUCAACCGGCCUCCGGCCCCGCAACCUCUUCCUCGGCGAAGUCUUCUCCCUGGCCGCCCCAUGUCUGCCGCCCCCGCCUACAGCGAAGACAAGGGCGGCUCCGCUGGCCCCGGGGAGCCCGAGUACGGCCACGACCCCGCGAGCGGCGGCAUCUUCUCCUCCGACUACAAGCGGCAUGAUGACCUGAAGGAGAUGCUGGACACCAACAAGGAUUCUCUAAAGCUGGAGGCCAUGAAGAGGAUUGUGGCGAUGAUUGCCCGAGGAAAGAAUGCUUCAGACCUGUUUCCAGCGGUGGUGAAGAAUGUGGCCUGUAAGAACAUAGAGGUGAAGAAGCUUGUCUACGUGUACCUGGUACGCUACGCUGAGGAGCAGCAAGACCUGGCCCUGCUGUCCAUCUCCACCUUCCAACGUGGCCUAAAGGACCCCAACCAACUGAUUCGUGCCAGUGCCCUCCGUGUCCUCUCUAGCAUCCGUGUGCCCAUCAUAGUGCCCAUCAUGAUGCUAGCUAUCAAGGAAGCCGCCUCGGACAUGUCACCCUAUGUGCGGAAAACAGCUGCCCACGCCAUCCCUAAACUUUACAGUUUGGACUCUGACCAGAAGGAUCAGCUGAUAGAAGUCAUUGAGAAGCUUCUGGCUGACAAGACCACGCUGGUGGCGGGCAGCGUGGUGAUGGCCUUCGAGGAGGUCUGCCCGGAGCGCAUCGACCUGAUUCACAAAAACUACCGGAAACUCUGUAACCUGCUGAUCGACGUGGAGGAGUGGGGCCAGGUGGUCAUCAUCAGCAUGCUCACCCGCUACGCCCGGACGCAGUUCCUGAGCCCCACCCAAAACGAAUCCCUGCUAGAGGAGAACGCGGAGAAAGCCUUCUACGGCUCAGAGGAGGACGAGGCCAAGGGCGCGGGGUCUGAGGAGACGGCCGCCGCGGCGCUCCCCGCUCGAAAGCCCUAUAUCAUGGACCCCGACCACCGGCUGCUGCUGCGCAACACCAAACCCCUGCUGCAGAGCCGCAGCGCCGCGGUGGUCAUGGCGGUGGCGCAGCUCUACUUCCACCUGGCGCCCAAGGCGGAAGUGGGCGUCAUCGCCAAGGCGCUAGUGCGCCUGCUGCGCAGCCACAGUGAGGUGCAGUACGUUGUGCUCCAGAACGUGGCCACCAUGUCCAUCAAGCGCCGGGGUAUGUUUGAGCCCUACCUGAAGAGCUUCUACAUCAGGUCCACUGACCCCACCCAGAUCAAGAUCCUGAAGCUGGAAGUGCUGACCAACCUGGCCAAUGAGACCAACAUUCCUACUGUCCUACGGGAAUUCCAGACCUAUAUUCGCAGCAUGGACAAGGACUUUGUGGCAGCCACAAUCCAGGCCAUUGGACGCUGUGCAACUAACAUUGGCCGAGUCCGUGACACCUGCCUCAAUGGCCUGGUGCAGCUGCUGUCCAACCGUGAUGGUCAGUGUUUGCCUGAAUGUCUAAUCGUGAUGAUCAGAAGAUGCCUGCCUGCAGAGCUUGUGGUUGCAGAGUCAGUGGUCGUCAUUAAGAAAUUGCUACAGAUGCAGCCAGCACAACAUGGAGAGAUCAUCAAACACUUGGCAAAGCUUACAGACAACAUCCAGGUGCCCAUGGCCAGAGCCAGCAUCCUGUGGCUCAUCGGAGAGUACUGUGAGCACGUCCCCAGGAUUGCACCUGAUGUCUUAAGAAAAAUGGCCAAGUCAUUCACAGCAGAGGAGGAUAUUGUCAAGCUGCAGGUCAUCAACUUAGCAGCCAAGCUCUACCUGACCAACUCUAAACAGACCAAGCUGCUGACCCAGUAUGUGCUGAGUCUGGCCAAAUAUGACCAGAACUAUGAUAUUCGCGACCGGGCACGCUUCACCCGGCAGCUCAUCGUCCCUUCCGAGCAGGGUGGGGCCCUUAGCCGCCAUGCCAAGAAGCUCUUCCUGGCACCCAAACCAGCUCCAGUCUUGGAGUCAUCCUUCAAAGACCGGGACCACUUCCAGCUGGGCUCACUGUCCCACCUGCUCAAUGCCAAGGCCACAGGCUACCAGGAGCUCCCAGAUUGGCCGGAGGAAGCCCCAGACCCAUCUGUGCGCAACGUGGAGGUACCUGAAUGGACCAAGUGCUCAAAUCGGGAGAAGAGAAAGGAGAAGGAAAAACCCUUCUACUCGGACUCUGAGGGGGAGUCAGGCCCCACAGAGUCCGCAGACAGUGACCCUGAGUCUGAGAGUGAAUCAGACAGUAAGAGCAGCAGCGAGAGCGGCUCUGGGGAGUCCAGCAGUGAGUCUGACAAUGAAGACCAGGAUGAGGAUGAGGAGAAAGGCAGAGGCAGUGAGAGUGAACAGAGUGAGGAGGAUGGUAAGAGGAAGACGAAGAAGAAGAAGGUGCCAGAGGGAAAAGGAGAAGCGUCAUCCUCUGAUGAGGACAGCGAUUCCAGCAGUAGCACAUCAGAGUCCGAGAUGACAUCAGAGUCCGAGGAGGAGCAGUUGGAACCUGCCUCCUGGAGGAGGAAAACACCUCCCAGCAGCAAAAGGGCCCCUGCAACCAAGGAGAUCUCCCUGCUUGACCUAGAGGACUUCACCCCUCCCAGUGUCCAGCCUGUGUCUCCCCCAGCAAUUGUGUCUACCAGUCUGGCUGCUGACCUGGAGGGCCUGACACUGACAGAUUCCACCCUGGUACCGUCGCUUCUGAGUCCAGUGUCGCGUGUUGGGCGGCAGGAGCUGCUGCACCGGGUAGCUGGCGAGGGGCUGGUUGUGGACUACACCUUCAGCCGCCAACCUUUCUCCGGGGACCCCCACAUGGUGUCUGUGCACAUCCACUUCUCCAACAGCUCUGAUACCCCCAUCAAGGGCCUGCAUGUGGGCACUCCCAAACUGCCUGCUGGCAUCAGCAUCCAAGAAUUUCCUGAAAUUGAGUCCCUGGCCCCUGGAGAAUCUGCCACUGCUGUAAUGGGCAUUAAUUUCUGUGACUCAACCCAGGCAGCCAACUUCCAGCUGUGCACCCAGACCCGACAGUUCUAUGUCUCCAUUCAGCCACCUGUUGGGGAGCUGAUGGCCCCUGUGUUCAUGAGUGAAAAUGAGUUUAAGAAGGAACAGGCCUCUGCCCUCAUCACGACCUCUGCCCCCAGGAAAGCUGAUGGGCAUGAAUGAGAUCACAGAGAAGCUCAUGCUGCCAGACACCUGUCGGAGUGACCACAUUGUGGUGCAGAAAGUGACUGCCACUGCCAACCUGGGUCGUGUUCCUUGUGGGACAUCUGAUGAGUACAGGUUUGCAGGGAGGACACUAACCAGUGGAAGCCUCGUUCUGCUGACCCUGGAUGCCCGGCCAGCUGGAGCUGCCCAGCUGACUGUCAACAGUGAGAAAAUGGUGAUUGGCACCAUGCUGGUAAAGGAUGUGAUACAGGCUCUGACCCAGUGACUUCCAAGUGCUGUGACCUCUUUGGCUCCUAUCUGUACCUCCCCAUGACAUCUGGGCUGUCGGUCCCUCUCACCUUUCUCUCUGUCUCAUCAUCAUCCUCAUGCCAGAUAGCAUUCAGGGUGUCCUCUCUCCCUCGGGAGGACCACGCCUUCCCCUAAUCCCCUCCCCAUGUGUUCCUUAGUGAUCUGUGCAGAGGGAGAUGGCAGUCACUCCCUUCAGUCCUCCCAGCUCUCUGUAGCUAUUUAUGUAACACUCUCAAUAAAAUGUCUUCUCUCUA